CUACAUAUCCAAAGAGAUCUCUUUUGCCUGUUUUUAAAAAAUAAGCAGGUGAUUUCUGUAUUUGAACAAUUUUAUAUCGUAUAUGCUGCAAUCAUUAGGCAUGAUGGAGUGAGUCAAUGUACUUUUGAGUCUCCUUAUUUUUAUUUUGUGUUUACAUCAGACCUAUAACAUUCAAAAAACCUUCUCUUUUGUUGUUUAGUAUACAUACUUGUAUACGGGUACCUGUAUAUCAUCCAGCAGAUAAAACUGUCUUUUAUAUGUUUUUAUCAAAAAAAAAUCUUUUGUUUACUAAAAGGACAGCUUUAUUUGCUUUGCCAUAUGUUUCUACAAAAAGAUGAUGUUAAAAAGCAGGGUUUAUAAAAAGAGAAAAGGUCACAGCUGGUCUGCUAGUCAGUUUACCCUAAAAAUUGUAAAUAUUCUGUCUAUACUUUAUUCCCAUCCCUUCAGAGUAAAGAGAGAGUGUGAUCUGCCAGGACUCAGUUGCUGAUGUUGCAAAAUACUCAGGCUUGAGCAUGGCAUGGGGAUUUCCAUAACCCUGUCCUUCCAAUCUAGGGGAUAGACAGCAGCUCUUAUUAAAGGACAUUAAUUAUUUUGUAAGAUCUGUGAGAAGCAUUACCAUAUCAGUGGAACCUCGAGUUACUGGAUUAUAUACAGUAAUCAUCCAGUCUCAGCAGUUCUGUCAUUUUCUGUGGCAUGACAAACCAUUGAUGAUUACACUUAUUCCAAAUGUAUGAAAACGGUGUCCGCUUGUUUCAGUUCAAGCGGAAGAUAUUUAUUACUGACUUAAUAAGCUACAAGUUAGUUUCAUGUUUAAGUUGCAUAGCUUCUGAGUAAUAUUUUUCAUUAGGGCUCUUUUUCAUCUCCAGAGCCAGUGCAACUGUAAUUUUUAUUCACCUUGCCACAGGGUCUGUGUCUUUACUACGUGUGAAAUAGCUUCCAGCACACUGAUUAUAAAAACUGCUGGUUAAAUACCAAAAAUAUGAAGGGUUUCACAGCUAUAUACUUAAAACAUUUCAUUUUGGUGGUGUAACUGUUAUUGACAGUGUUUGUCUCGCACACAACUGAAUGUACACAUUGUUUACUAUUUGAAAAAAUACUGUUAGAAGUAUGCAUACCAUUCCAGUCAACCAAAGCUGUGGCAUAACUUUUUUUAUGUGCUCCUAAAUAAAAACAAGGUCAUUGGCAACUUGUGUCUGCUUUGUUUUCUCUUUUAAGAGUAUCUUCGAAGUGUUGUGAAUCGGUCUUAAUGGAGAAAAAAAUGCAAAUGUGCUACUAAUAUACAAAUGAGCCAGAUUUACUCCUGGUGGUUGAAGAUGUAAUGCAUUUACCAUUCGAUGCUAAAACACUUCUCACAAAGGCAUGAUGUCAAGUGGCCACAACUUUCUGCUGUGCAUCCUGAUGUUCCAGAGAUAACAUUAAGCACAGAACCACUCAUACACCUAAAGAGAAAACUGAAGUCCUUUCUGGAUGGUCAAUCUGAAGAAACUGAGAGGCGGUGUAAGAAGCAAAGGCUAUUAGUAGGUAUUUAUCCUUCUUUUGUUAUUCAAAUAAUGGCUUUCACUUAGCUUGUUGACACAUUUCACUAUUGAAAUCACUUGACACUUUUCAGUAUUUUCACAUAGAAAUUAGCUCCCACACUUAUCCCCACGAAAUUCAAAUGAGUUGUCUGCUCUGAAAUAUAAAAGCUAAGGUAAUGACAAAACAAUCCAGUCUGUAUUUCUGUGGAAAAGAGAUGCCUAAUUUUAAAAUAAAACUAAGUUAGAUUACAUUAAAAUAAAUUUUAAAUGAAGAAAUAAACCCCAGAAUACUCUGGGGAUUAUUACUCUGGACCAUAUACUGUAAUACCUCCAUUUGCACUAUGACUCAUCAUUUUUAAAUCUAACAGUGCCGCAAUCUAAUGUAAUACAAUUCCAUUAAGGGUAGCAAAGAGUUGGUAUGCCAGGUCUGACAUUCCCUACAAAUUAGCAUGGGAGAGAUCUAGCUAAGUCCUCAAACGAUGUGCAGGUCUGUCUCUGAUGAGUCAUUCUUCCUUCAAUGAACAAGUUGAAGAAUGACAGAAUAUGAGAGCCUUGCAAAUGAUCAGUACUUCAGAGACAAAUUCUAUAUUUGCUGCUCAAGCUGUAGAAGAAUCUCGGAGAGGUCAGUGUGUGUGUGUUGUGUGUGCUGCAGCUUUCAUGUGGGCAUGAAUGAUGCUGGAAGCCAGAACAUGGGCAGAAUCAAAGACAAUAAUAAAACUCUGGGAGCACAAUUGAAGAAUGAAACUCAUGGCCAAGUUAUCGUCUCUUCAGUUUUCCAGCGGAAGAAGAGAGGGAAGCCAGAAACAGACGCACAAUGCCCAUCAGUUCCUGGUUAUGUGGACAGUGCCCAUGCACUGUUUUGGUUUUUAUGACAGUGGGACUUUCAAUGAAGGUUAUAAUCUAUUAAAGAGGGAUGGGAUCCACCUACCUAGAAGAAGCAGGGCAAUCUUUGGCAACAGGCUGGCUAAUCUAGUGUGGGUGGCUUUCAACUGAAGGCCUUGGAGGAGUGAAGUCAAAAAUGGCAAUGUUCAUGCCAUUGCAAUAGACUGGGGAAUGAGCCAGGCCAACCGGAACAGUGACAUGCUCCUUAGCUGCUUUCCUUGAGCCAGAAGGCCAGCUGCCUCAAGAGUGGGUAUAUUUACAGGCAAUCCUUGUGCGUCCCUCUAGGAAUACCUGCAUCCUCAGCUCCCUUUUAUUCUCUAAAGUGCCUAUACCAGUGCGUGGAGCAUGGGGAAUAAACAGGAAGAGCUAGUGCUAGUGCAGUUGCAAGGCCAUGAUCUCACUGUAAUCAUGGAGACAUGGUGGGAUAUCUUAUACAACUGGAAUGCUUUCAUGGAUGGCUACAGCUGUUGCAGAAAAGGCAAGCUAAGCAAGGCAUGGCAGUGGAGUUGCUCUGCAUUUGAAAGAGCAACUUGAAUUUAUUAAUCUCUGCCUAGAUGUGAAUGAGGAACGAAUUGAGAGCUUAUGAAUGAGAAUUAAGGGACAGGUUAAUAUGGGUGACACCGCUGAGGGUGUUCACUACAGGCUGCCUGACCAGGAGGAGGAAGUUGAUGAGGCCUCCUGAGGUAGCUGGAAGAAGCCUCAUGAUCACAGGCACUUGUUCUCGGGGAAUUCAAUUUUAUAUUUGUUAUAUUUGUUGGAAAAGCACACAUAGACCAGGAGGUUCCUGCAAAGCAUUAUGAUGACUCUCUGAUCCAAGUGGUGAAGGAACCAAUGAGGAGAGAUGUGCUGCUACUUUCACUUAAAAGAUCCGGAUUAUUUGAACCCAAUGCAUAUUGUGUACAAAACAUUGUUUUGUUGUACAAUAAAUGUCAGGUUAUACUGUGAGAUUUCAUUCUGUAUCUUUACAUUACAUGGUGGCGGAAGUUUUUUGUGUAAAGUUGGUGACCUGUAACCAAAGAUUUUUUUUUUAGCUCGUAGCCUGAAGACUUCCAGCUAGAACACUGUUAGCAAGUACUUUCUGCUGCCUUCUCCUAUAUAUAUGUGCCUUCUAUGCAUGCUAAAUGCAUCAUUUCUCCCAAACUGCUCCAAAUCUUUUCCCUUUCACAGUUGAGCUUUAAAUGCUAUUGUGUAGAUAGAAUACAGUGCACCUUUUCAUGUUGGCUGGGUGUAAUAAUUUCUUUGAGAUAUUCUGAAUCAGAGUGGGUAGUGACUGAACAUCUGCAAAACAUAUAAAACUCUAAAAACACACCCUAUUUCAAGAACUUUCCAGUGCUUACCUCCUCCAUCUGGACAUGAAGAAAUAAACUCAGACUUGCACAAGUAGCCAAGAUUCCUACUGAAGUCAGCUUAAUUGUGCAAAAAGGAAAUUUGUCUCAGAAAGCAAAUUAAGGAAUACUUUUCAUGCUCUUUGAAAAUCAUUUUUAACUUGGUAUUUAAGAAAUAAAUACCAAGUUAAGACACUUUAAAUUCUAAAUAAAUUGUUGCUGUAGUUACAUUUAACUUAGCCAAAUAUCCCUUUAAGAUUUGUUAAAAAAGAUGGAGAUUUAGGCGUCGUAUGGCAAACUUUGCUAAGUUAUAUUACAAUUACUUAUCACAGAAUUACAGAAGACGUAUUUUUAAUUUCUAAUAUAAAAAUACUCCAGAUUGUAAUGCUUUUUUCUUCAUUAUAAACGUAACUCUACUAUUUCAACUGUACCCUCUCAGAAUUGUUUUUCUCUUUUCCUUCCCCCUCUCCCCAGAAUAAAAAUAUUUUGUAUUUUAUCUUGGAUGUCCUUAUGGAUUACCAGCAAAAUCCAGAUUUUCAGAAUAAAGGCUACAAUCCCCAGUCAGGAGAAAGAAAGUGAACAUAUUAAAAAUGCUUGCUCUAUUAAGCACAGGAAUUUAAUUCACAUGCACUAAAACAUACACAAAGUAUUAUCCUUUUGAAUUUUUUAAAAAAUGUUCUUUUAACUGAUUGUCUUUCCAUUCUUGUGGUGUAGUAGCUUCAUUAGUGCUCAAAUCACCAUCGCAGUUCCCACCGUGCAAGCCCAAAACACAAAAAAGCAGAGAGAAAAACGAUAAAACUCCUCUAAGGAUAAUAAAUCAGGAAGAAAUCACAGAUAAUAAAAGAAACUGAGCACUUUCUCUGUGCAUUUCACUUUUAAUAUUAUGAUUGGUUUUUAAAUUCAGUUAUACUGUUGAGCUAAUUCACUGUCAUCAGUACAGGAACCCACUGGUGUGCAAAGUCAUCAUAAAAUUUAGGUAUUUACUGAUUUACUCAGAGUACCAAGAUGCAGAAAAUGGUUUGUUAUAGUCUGUGAUUUUUUGCUGCCUUGAAGCAGCACUAAAAAGUUUUAAGCAGUUUGUAAGUAAAGAAAACAAAUACCAAGCACAUCAGUGUACCUUUGUUCAGCAUGUAAAACCUUGGGUGGUUUUAAGAGCACUGCAAAAAUACGGUGAAAAACAGUUAUCAGUCUUGGGAAAACCUGAGCUUGCUGUGCUGCGUGAAAAAGGAUUAAAAGGACUAUAAUUGAAAUUCCUUACAAAACUGUUGUUUUUUUCUCCCUGUGUUGAGCAGUUCGAGCUAAAACUUGCAAGAAGCAAACAUCAGGUGCAUCUCAGUGCAUACUGGUUGGUGAAGCAGGUGAGCGUCUCAUGUUGGUUCCUUCCUCAGCAAUGCAAGGCCAUGUAAGGCCACCACAACUGAGAUGGUUUCAGCUUGACCACAGGGAUCAUAAGAAGACAGGAGCAUGGUCUUUCUGCAGAGGACUUCUGUGCACUUCCAAGAAGGGUAGCAGACAUUAGCUGUGUAUUGAAAAGCAUGUCUUUGGAGAGAUUUUAGGAACAAAAGCUGGCUCAGCUCCAUCCCAUUGCGAUUAGAAAUACCUGUGACCCAGUUGCAUGGUUCAGCUCCCAAGAAAAAUAGAAAUAAUCACUAUGAAGUUAAUAUUUUCUGUUCCCUUUGUUUUUUCUUACUUGAAGAAUCCAAGUUAGGCAAUAACUACGAAGUUAGGUGGAGUACCGCAUCUUAACCUGGUCCUGUAUGUACCAAACAGAGUAGGGAAACGAUGAAACUGGUUGUUGGCAAAACCACUGAUAGAAGUUUGUAUCUAGUCAGCAACCACAUUUUAUGGAUGUGGAAAUACCGCAGUGGUUUGUAGGCUGAGAUUAGCAAUGCUUCAGUCCACUGCUGCCAGGAGGUGAUUACUUGGCUCCUUUUCAUGGCUAUAUGCACAGUGAAAAUAUAUCUGUA
This is a non-coding RNA of Meleagris gallopavo (turkey), 5691 nucleotides long. NCBI's taxonomy places the organism in Eukaryota, Metazoa, Chordata, Aves, Galliformes, Phasianidae. The record is from RefSeq and is a predicted model, not a curated record.